CACCGCCUUGCCGGGGGUGUAGACGUCCUGCGAUCCGGUCGCGGUGGCCGGGCGGCCCUUGGCCAGGUUGCGGUUCGGGUCCUGGGGCGGAUU
Molecule: transfer RNA, 93 nt
Filed under: Streptomyces lannensis
Lineage: Bacteria; Bacillati; Actinomycetota; Actinomycetes; Kitasatosporales; Streptomycetaceae
Also listed under: 1 other name
Description: tRNA-Arg
Source: RNAcentral